UCUAACCUUAUAUGCCUAAGGGCUGGUAAUUCCACACAUUGUACUACUCUAUUACAACAUUCAGUCUUUAAAGUGUAAGCAUUGCCUGAGUUCCUGAAAGCCCUUGGAACUUUAAAACACUCUAAGAGAAGGCCUUGGAAUCUUGAAUCCGGAUUUGGUGAAACACGUGUAUUGGAUGUUGAAGGUUGCACUGAGCCUCCUCAGGUCUGGCUUUAGUUUUGAUGUACUUACUUCAGUCUUUUUCUUUCCAGUUUCGUAAUAACUAUGUAAUAAAACUCGGGAAAAAUAUUAGUAAAGGUUUUGGGAUGGGUUUAUAUUUCUUGCAUAAGUCAAUAGGUAGAAUUCAUGUCUAUAGGACCUUUUAUGCUUUAAUCAUCUAUAUACUAUGCCUAUGGGAUUCUAAUAUUGCAUAUCAUUUAGAAAUCAUGUCUAUAGGAUCUUUCAUGCUUCAAUCAUCUAGUAACCAUGCCUAUAGGACUUUAAUAUUGCAAAGCAUCUAGACGCCAUGCCUAUAGGACUUUAAUAUUGCAAAUCACUUAGAAAUUAUGCCAAUAGGAUUCUAAUAUUGCAAAUCAUUUGGAGUCAUGUCUGUAGGACUGUGCAUUGUAGUUAAAAUAGAGAUCCUGCCUAUAUGAAACGCAUAAAACAUUAGGCAAACCAAAGGGUAACUCUCUCACAUGCUUUAAAAAUUCAAUGUAGACAUUAUGACUAUAGGAUUCCAUCUCAACUUGUUUGGUUCAUUUUAAACAAUAACAGUCCGUUAAUUGGCCCUUUAAUGUAGUAAUACAAUGUUUUCAAUAAAACUCUUGUAAAUCAGUAUGCUUUUAAAAACAUUUCAAAUCUGCAUCUUUUCCUAAACAGUUCUUUUAAACAUUCUGCCUAAAUGUUUUACUUAGUCACUGAAAUCGUCUUUGAAAUAGUCCUGUAACUCGCUCUUUUUCUUGAGAUAUUCCUCCCUCUGAAACUAUUUCAUACAGUCCCUGAGAUUGUCUUUUAAAUAGUCCUGUAAUUCAUUCUUUUCUUAAGACAUUCCGGCCUCUAAAAAUCUUUCAUAACUCUGCUGCAUUUUUUUCUUUUCUACUCAAACAGUCUGUUGUUUCAAAAUCCAUUUACAAAUUUACUGCAGUCUUUACUUGCUUUUAACUCUUCUACAUUAAGACCUCAAUAACUAACAAAUCAGACCCGAUGGGCUCAAUGUAGACUUUUAUUCAACUUUAUGAGUUAAAUUGAUUCAUCCCCCUCGUAAUUUCUUAACUUUACAGACCAAACCAGUUCGUGCAAUUCAUGCUAAACUAAUUGAUGUUAUGAUCUAUGGAGUUUUGUGUGAGCCUUUGAAUGUUUGAUUUGUACCCCCCUUAUUUUUUAUUUGUUUGUAUUUACGCUUUAGUAUUUUAUCCUUUUAAACUCCAUAUAUGCUGCCAUCCAUUUUCUUCCCCCUUUAGAAUAGAAGUCCUAAUACCCCGGGACUGAUAGGUCGGGACGGGUAUUAGCAUGUAAUAAGUAAACGAGUCUAAUCGCGUUUAAAUACCUUAACAGGGUGGGAAAGGCAGAAUAUAGAGAUGAUGAUGAUGCCUAAUAUCUCGUGUGAGAAAGAUUGCUGGGUAUUGCACUGAAUGACCCAUAUUAUAAUUAAACCUAGGACUCCUUCUUUUCUUGCUUUUCCUUUAUUUAAAUUAAUAUUUUCUUCAAACUAAGCUUUCUUUUCACUUGUGCCUUUCUUCUUUCAAAAUUGUUAACUUUAUUAUGUGCAAACUUUGCUUGUUUAUUCCUACUCUUCUUAAAGUAACAACUAAGCAUAGCCGAGAACCACAUACUGGAUCUUGAGGGGUGCCUAACACCUUCCCCUCGAGAUAAUCUCAAGCCAUUACCCGAACUGUGGUUUUUCUUUCAAAAUUAUCUUCUUUUAAGUGUCCUAGUGCACUAUAAUCAUUAGGUGGCGACUCUCCAAACUCCAUUGCCCAAAUUCCCCAAAAGUGGGAUAAAUGAGUCAUUCCACCCAUAAUGUCGUAAUCCCGAUUUCUCCUUGGAAAAGAGGGGCCGUCGACAGCAUGGUGACUCUGUUGGGGAUUUUCUAUAAGGCUUUUACCAUUACUUAUUUUUGUGACAUUAUCGCUUCCUUAAUCGCAUUUAUUUCUCGUCCUUGGUUAUUUCAUCAUAUAACUAACUUGGCUCUUCAUGUUUUCCUUUCCUUUUAAUAUCCGCCUUACUGCCUUAUUAUUUCAAUAUUAUUAAAAAUUCGAGCAACCAUUGUAUUCAUUUAUCUUAUGAACGUGAAAAUAUGUGUAAUUUGUUUCAUUAUUAUAACUGCAUUCCUCAACAUCAUAUGCCACUCGUGCCAAAACAAAUCCUAUAGCAACGCUUAUAAUGAAUGGUUGCGCCCUUCAGAUAUUAUAAACCCCCUAAAUGUGGCAAAGGCAUAUUUGCGGUAAAAUUAGUCGAUCAAUGAUCUAGUCGACGGUUCCGCGCCUUUCCCUCUUGAGUUGUACGCUAAAGGGUACCUUGCAUAGCACUUCAAAAGUAGAAACUUUAUUCCAUUAAACCGUUCAUGCAUCAUGGUCAACCCUAGCCAAGUCAGUUAUAUUGUCCACAUAAUGACUCCUAAGAUAGCCUAAACAAAGUCCAUCGGGUUUUCUCGAAACCCAAACAGACGCCUUCACGUUAUAUGCAUUUAUUUGGAGAACUAAAUUCCUUUUUCUAAUUAUUGAUUUAAAUAGUCGAGUCUGCUGGGGUUAAGGGCCUAACACUUUAUUUUGCAGAAAAUGAGUCACGAGGUCCCCAGAUUCGGUUUGGUAUCCAACGUUCACCCAACGUUACUCAGCCGGUCGGAAGAUCUUCAUGGCAGUGAUCAAACCCUCAUCCACAAGAACUUAGGGAAUUUGCCCUCACUUUUGGAAAUCCAGCCCAACAAUAAGAUCAUUGGGAUUGACACAUUGUUUUGGGAUAGUGAUCGAUCAGUGUUCCGCUUUGGAGACUUGAAAAUUAACCCUUUUUCCAGAAGAGAUAGGGG
Molecule: long non-coding RNA, 3007 nt
Filed under: Nicotiana benthamiana
Lineage: Eukaryota; Viridiplantae; Streptophyta; Magnoliopsida; Solanales; Solanaceae
Description: long non-coding RNA (NBEN_LNC012780)
Source: RNAcentral